AACGCACAUUGCGCCCCUUGGUAUUCCGAGGGGCAUGCCUGUUCGAGCGUCAUUAUAACCACUCAAGCCUCGGCUUGGUAUUGGGGUUCGCGGUCUCGCGGCCCUUAAAACCAGUGGCGGUGCCGUCUGGCUCUAAGCGUAGUAAUUCUUCUCGCUACAGAGACCAGGUGGUUGCUUGCCAAAACCCCCUAUUUUCUAUGGUUGACCUCGGAUCAGGUAGGGAUACCCGCUGAACUUAA
Molecule: unclassified non-coding RNA, 239 nt
Filed under: uncultured fungus
Lineage: Eukaryota; Fungi
Description: sequence contains ITS2
Rfam family: 5.8S ribosomal RNA (bases 1-52)
Source: RNAcentral